CCCUUAGAUGUUCUGGGCCGCACGCGCGCUACACUGAUGCAUUCAACGAGUCUAAAACCUGCUCUGAUAGGGGUGGGUAAUCUUUUGAAUGUGCAUCGUGAUUGGGAUAGAUGAUUGCAAUUUUUCAUCUUCAACGAGGAAUGCCUAGUAAACGCAAGUCAUCAGCUUGCAUUGAUUACGUCCCUGCCCUUUGUACACACCGCCUGUCGCUCCUACCGAUUGAAUGAUCCGAUGAAUAUCAUGGAUUGAGGAUGCAAGCAGGUUCGCCUGUCUUCAUCUUCGAGAAGUGAAGUAAAUCUUAUCAUUUAGAGGAAGGAGAAGUCGUAACA
RNAcentral lists this ribosomal RNA (329 nucleotides) under uncultured eukaryote. RNAcentral's name for it is "partial 18S ribosomal RNA". It matches the Rfam family "Eukaryotic small subunit ribosomal RNA", at positions 1470 to 1796 of the family's 1831-position model. The record is from RNAcentral.